RNAcentral lists this ribosomal RNA (497 nucleotides) under uncultured bacterium. RNAcentral describes it as "partial 16S ribosomal RNA". It matches the Rfam family "Bacterial small subunit ribosomal RNA", at positions 28 to 507 of the family's 1533-position model. The record is from RNAcentral.
GAUGAACGCUGGCGGCGUGCCUAAUACAUGCGAGUCGAGCGAACAGACGAGGAGCUUGCUCCUCUGACGUUAGCGGCGGACGGGUGAGUAACACGUGGAUAACCUACCUAUAAGACUGGGAUAACUUCGGGAAACCGGGGCUAAUACCGGAUAAUAUAUUGAACCGCAUGGUUCAAUAGUGAAAGACGGUUUUGCUGUCACUUAUAGAUGGAUCCGCGCCGCAUUAGCUAGUUGGUAAGGUAACGGCUUACCAAGGCAACGAUGCGUAGCCGACCUGAGAGGGUGAUCGGCCACACUGGAACUGAGACACGGUCCAGACUCCUACGGGAGGCAGCAGUAGGGAAUCUUCCGCAAUGGGCGAAAGCCUGACGGAGCAACGCCGCGUGAGUGAUGAAGGUCUUCGGAUCGUAAAACUCUGUUAUUAGGGAAGAACAAAUGUGUAAGUAACUAUGCACGUCUUGACGGUACCUAAUCAGAAAGCCACGGCUAACUACGUG